GCGUGGGCUUCUUGGUGGCCUCGGAGCUACAGGGACCAUGCUGAGUGCUGCGGAGAGGGAGUGACAGAAGCCAGCUGCUGGGUGGAUAAUGCCUCAGGUUCAAGGGCAGGGAGGUAGAAUGAGGUCCAGCUAGCAAGGCAGAAGAGAGGAAGCCACAGAAGAAGACUGCUUGGAGAAGCAGAAGGGAUAUAAUACAUCCAGCUGGAGCGUUCCUUGGACGUCAUGCCUGUCCAAGAUUGAAAGGAGGAUGGGGAUGUAAUUCCUGAGAUACAUUUGGAGCAGCUCUUAUUGUCCUGGCUGACAGAGGGACCAGAAAAAAAGGUGAUCAACAUACGAUGUCAAAACUAUGGCUGAGACGUGCAAUUAAGGAUAUCGCUCUGUGACAGUGCAGCAAACUGCUGGAGUAUGAAGGCGGCUCAGAAGUUCAUAUCUGCAUUGAGUGAAGUUUGACAGAAGAUGUUGCAGCGGUUUUGUGUCUGGAGAUGGUUAGCUCUAGGAACUGCAGUUGCUACCAUCUUAGCAGGCGGUUCGGCCCAGAAUGAUGAAG
Molecule: long non-coding RNA, 547 nt
Organism: Calidris pugnax (ruff)
Lineage: Eukaryota; Metazoa; Chordata; Aves; Charadriiformes; Scolopacidae
Exons: 5
Source: RefSeq, a predicted model, not a curated record